AUUGAACGCUGGCGGCAGGCCUUACACAUGCAAGUCGAGCGGCAGCGGGAAAGUAGCUUGCUACUUUUGCCGGCGAGCGGCGGACGGGUGAGUAAUGCCUGGGGAUCUGCCCAGUCGAGGGGGAUAACUACUGGAAACGGUAGCUAAUACCGCAUACGCCCUACGGGGGAAAGCAGGGGACCUUCGGGCCUUGCGCGAUUGGAUGAACCCAGGUGGGAUUAGCUAGUUGGUGAGGUAAUGGCUCACCAUGGCGACGAUCCCUAGCUGGUCUGAGAGGGUGAUCAGCCACACUGGAACUGAGACACGGGUCCAGACUCCUACGGGAGGCAGCGAGUGGGGAAUA
RNAcentral lists this ribosomal RNA (343 nucleotides) under uncultured bacterium. RNAcentral's name for it is "bacterial SSU rRNA". It matches the Rfam family "Bacterial small subunit ribosomal RNA", at positions 30 to 363 of the family's 1533-position model. The record is from RNAcentral.